CUUUGAGUGUGUAUACCAAGAAAAGAAAAAUAUGAAUUCAUUCUCGAGGUCAGAUUUGGAGCUAAUAAAGUUAUUCUGAUUUCUAUUAUGUUUCUUACCCACCAGCAUUACCCUCUUGCUAUUAUUUACCUGAACAGUUUUAGUGUUUUGGGUGCCUCGUAUCUUACGGAAGUUGUGAAGGAAAAUCAAAGGUCCAAGGAACAUGGAAAAAGCUCUUUCCAUUUAAUGGUGAAAAAUGUGAGGCAUACUCAAGAGCAAGUAUAAAGCAGCCAGCUUAAGGGAAGGGUGAGAAGACAUCUGAGAUGGAAACAGAGACAAAUGACUCUUCCCUUGAGGUAACAUCAGAUACAGGAGAAGCUCCC
Vidua chalybeata is the source of this 362-nucleotide long non-coding RNA. RefSeq lists it as uncharacterized. The transcript has 3 exons. The record is from RefSeq and is a predicted model, not a curated record. Lineage: Eukaryota; Metazoa; Chordata; Aves; Passeriformes; Viduidae.